AUUGAACGCUGGCGGCAUGCCUUACACAUGCAAGUCGAACGGUAACAGGUCUUCGGAUGCUGACGAGUGGCGAACGGGUGAGUAAUACAUCGGAACGUGCCCGAUCGUGGGGGAUAACGGAGCGAAAGCUUUGCUAAUACCGCAUACGAUCUACGGAUGAAAGCAGGGGACCGCAAGGCCUUGCGCGGACGGAGCGGCCGAUGGCAGAUUAGGUAGUUGGUGGGAUAAAAGCUUACCAAGCCGACGAUCUGUAGCUGGUCUGAGAGGAUGACCAGCCACACUGGGACUGAGACACGGCCCAGACUCCUACGGGAGGCAGCAGUGGGGAAUUUUGGACAAUGGGCGAAAGCCUGAUCCAGCCAUGCCGCGUGCAGGAUGAAGGCCUUCGGGUUGUAAACUGCUUUUGUACGGAACGAAAAGACUCUUUCUAAUAAAGAGGGUCCAUGACGGUACCGUAAGAAUAAGCACCGGCUAACUACGUG
Molecule: ribosomal RNA, 482 nt
Filed under: uncultured bacterium
Lineage: Bacteria
Description: partial 16S ribosomal RNA
Rfam family: Bacterial small subunit ribosomal RNA
Source: RNAcentral